This 62-nucleotide microRNA precursor is filed under the name Acyrthosiphon pisum (pea aphid). Its description in RNAcentral is "microRNA api-mir-3032 precursor". The record is from miRBase by way of RNAcentral. Lineage: Eukaryota; Metazoa; Arthropoda; Insecta; Hemiptera; Aphididae.
UGUUAGUAUAACUCUUAGUAACAGUGAAUUUUAAAAUUGUGACUAGAGUUUAUACUACCGAU